GACGUAGGGGGCCAGCGUUGCUCGGAAUAACUGGGCGUAAAGGGUCUGUAGGCGGUGUGGCAAGUCGGGAGUGAAAUCUCUGGGCUUAACUCAGGGGCUGCUUCCGAAACUGCCGUGCUCGAGUGCGAGAGAGGUGAGUGGAAUUGCAGGUGUAGCGGUGAAAUGCGUAGAUAUCUGCAGGAACACCCGUGGCGAAGGCGGCUCACUGGAUCGCAACUGACGCUGAGAGACGAAAGCUAGGGGAGCAAACAGGAUUAGAUACCCUGGUAGUCCUAGCCCUAAACGAUCAGAACUUGGGGUGCAUCCCGUUGGGGGUGCGUCCCGUAGCUAACGCGUUAAGUUCUGCGCCUGGGGAGUACGGUCGCAAGACUGAAACUCAAAG
RNAcentral lists this ribosomal RNA (382 nucleotides) under uncultured bacterium. RNAcentral's name for it is "bacterial SSU rRNA". It matches the Rfam family "Bacterial small subunit ribosomal RNA", at positions 524 to 906 of the family's 1533-position model. The record is from RNAcentral.